UAUCUUCAUUUCGAUAUAAAAGCCGUACGUUUCCGCAUUUCACUCAUAGUCUGACGUUAUUUGAACAAUUAUUAUACGAUUCAAGUUAACUGAAAUUUAUUCUGAUUGUGAGUUCCAAAUUAAAGUUUUAUAUAUAAAAUAAAUCCAAGAGAUGAUUUCUUAAAUUAACUCCUCACGGAAGACAAACUCCUUGUGCUGGUGAUAACACAACAAUUUGUGUUAAAAUGCCAAGAAUAAAUAUAGCAAAUGUUAUAAAUUUAUUAAUCACAACGUUUAACAUUGCAAAUUUUGGUGUCUCACCUGUUAAUCGCCAUGAAGUUGAACUUCAUAAUGCCAUUUCCGAUAUAAUAAAAAAUGCUGUAAAUGAUGAUGUUGAGAUUGAAUACAAAUGGGAACUUGAGUUUGAUGAUCCGUCGAAACCGCAUGAUGUACAAUUUGUGGACGUGUAUGAUAUUGAUGCUGAAGAAGAUAAUUAUGAAGACAAAGUUUGUAUUGUGGAUAACGAAGGUGGAAAUGUAAACUUAAAUUACAAAAGAAAAGCAGUUGAAUUUUGGAACAGUGGAAAAAAAGGACAUUUAGCUAUUACUGCUGUACAGAAUCGUUUUAGAAAGGUAAAAUUUAAUACAAACAUAAGAAAAAUAAUAUGAGUUGAACGAGCAGGUAGAUGUGCGUUGUGUAUAAAUAGUAGGUAAAAUCUGUUUCGCAAUUGCAUAGAUGGGAAGAAAAUGUAAUGCGCGGAGGGUCAAACAGGGACAAACUUGUAUUUAUUGCCGAAUAUGUACUAUCGCAAUUCCAAGAAGCUAUUGAUAGAGGAUCUAUCAUUCACGACAUAGAUUUGCGAAAAUGGGCAUUACAAGCAAAGGAGCAAAUAGACUUUUCUUCAUUUAGAGCAGGAAAUUGGUGGAUAUGGAAUUUUAAAAAAGCACAUCGCAUUGUAUCACGUAAAAUAACAAGUUUUAAAACGCGAUCUUCUCAUGCAGCUGAUGUAACAAUACGUCAAAGCGCAGAGGAAUUUGUGAGACAGGUUAAACCACAUAUUGAUGUUAUCGGUGCAGGAUCAAUUUAUAAUGCAGAUGAAAGCGGCUUUAAUUUCGAAGUACAUUCUGGAAGAACAUUAA
This is an RNA transcript of Formica exsecta, 1118 nucleotides long. RefSeq lists it as uncharacterized. The record is from RefSeq and is a predicted model, not a curated record. NCBI's taxonomy places the organism in Eukaryota, Metazoa, Arthropoda, Insecta, Hymenoptera, Formicidae. The transcript is spliced from 2 exons.